AAUCCCGUAUUAAACUCACAAAAUAUACCCGUUUCGGGCCGAUGCUCUCAUUAUUUACUGUUUAGAGUAGGCGGUCUAUCGCUUUGCAUACAAGUAGAAGGGUAGUAUAUAGCGAUGCUCUGAUUGGAUAAUGAUAAUCAGCAGUCGUCAUAUGGGCGGAUACAAUCUCUGCUCUUUACAUCGGCAAGUAAUUACUCUUUGGGAAUUAGAUUUUAUCGGCGAUGUUGACUUCUCUUUGAUCAAUUGGGAGAGCGAAAUGGAAAUAUACACAGCUAAAUUCUCGCCUGAAUUGCCCUUCACACUGCUCAUUGAGUACCUCAAUAAUACGGUAUUUUCAUGGAUUUUUUUUUUUUUUUUUUUUUUGGACACGAAAAAAACGGUAGGGUCGGCGCAUAUUAUUAGGUAGGGUCGGGUGACCCGAACAAAACAAUUUUUUUUUUUAGGCCUAAGAUGAAUUUAUCUUUCGUUUUGAAUCAUAGCCUAAAAAAAUGUUAUUUUAUUAAUUAUUUUAGUGAAUUUAGAGACAUCAGGUCACUGAAAUUUUGAGAAGCCCGACGGGAUACCCAGCUUGGAAACUCGGGUAGUCCUUGGGGAAAAUUGGUAGCCUCGGGCUAACGGACCAUCGUUAGUGUCGAGCCCUGGUACUCUAUCUGGAAUAAGAAAACCUGAAUUGCCAUGGUUUUGUGGUACGUCAUGCAAGAGAUCAGAGAAAAAAACCUCUAAGAGAAGUGAAGGUGACAAAUUGGACCAAAAAGACUUGCAUACUCAGAUUAAGACAGACACAGAUAUUUACAUUGCAACCCCAUUAAUACCAACACCAACACAAUCAAGUAAAAGAUCAACACGUUUGAGAAAAUUAAAAUUCCUUGGGAGGAGAAUCAACCACCAGUGGACAGAAUCAGACGGCUCUCUGAAUUGGUACAAAGGCACCGUGCUUUCUGUUUCUUCUGGAAAAGACGGAAAUCCUGAUGCAGUAUAUGAGGUGCUAUAUGAAGGCGAAGACGCGUCAUAUGAAGUAGAUUCUUUGAUCAAAGACUAUAAUGAAGGCACCUUAAUUUUCAUAGAUUUGUAAUGGUAAUGGAGAUUCAGUGUCACUAAAAUAGAUGUUACUUUAAAAGUUUUCAUUCAUCAUAUCACAUAUUUAUCAUUGGAAGGAACUUUAUUUUGACAUACAAGUUACAUGUGCUGCAAACUGAUUCAGGUAAGGCUUUUGCUUUUAUUUCAAUUUUCUUUUUUCUUUUUAGGCAAUGUAACAGCUUCUUUAUAGGUAAAGGAUUAAUGCCUCAACACUUUCCUUUUCAAAUGUACCUCAGAAUACUUCAGUUUAAAGUUUGAAUUUUUGACCUAAAAUUUUCAACAAAACAAUAUGGCUGACAUUUGAUGCACCUUAAGGAAAAUAAAUAGAAUUUGUUUCCCAAUAUGGAGUCUGCUUUCAAAUGAAAUCUCGUGAGAUUUCAAAUUUUGGGUAAUUUUUGCAUCUAUUUUUAGUAACGAAAAAUGUACUAUUUAUAGAAUUUUACUAUUUUUAGUACUCAUGUUGUUAUUUAAGCAGAAAACAUGUGCUUAUCAAUGGAAAGAAAAUUUACAUAAAUCUUCAUGGUUUUUUAACCAAUUUCCAUGUGUUUUAUUUUACUGGUGACUUUUGUCUUAUUUCUUGAUAUUUAUAAGUGUUUUUACUUCAUAAUUUUGUUUUAUUGCUAAAAAACUGAGAAAUACAUGUAGACAGUUUUUGCUGUCAUGGAGCAGUGCAGGGCUUGUGGCUGCUCACUUAAAAGAGCAAGAAGUGUAAGCUCCAAAUUACAUGGACAUGGAAUUUCACAGCUCUCCUUAGUUGAAGGAGUGAAGAAAUUUUUAAAUGUAACUGUGACACCAGGGAAAAAUGUAUGUGGUGAUUGUUUUAACAAGAUCAGUAAACUGACGGUGCUUUCAGAAAAAGUUAGCAAAAAUAAAAAAGAACUUUCAACACAGAAAAGGAAGCUUUCAGAUUCUGGGGUUUUUAGAAACGAAAUAUGUUCAAACAUAUCUUCGGUUUCUUCGGUUUCUUUUUCACCAUCCCCUAUUGCCAAACGGAUGUGUUUUUCUCCAAGGAAAGCUACAUGUAGUACACCCAAAACAGUGAAGCCCAAACAUACUUCAUUAAUAGACACUAUUGUGAGACAAGUUCAAAAUACCAACUAUGAUUCAGCAAUACGAACUAUGAUGAUGUGUAAGAAGGCAAAUGGUGAUAUUAAAAAGGUCAUUGGUCUGUGUGUCCAGGAUGAGGUCAGGGCAUUCUCUAAAAAGAUAACAUCAUUAAGACAAAUCCUCACACUUGAGAGCAUUGAUAAAUUUUCAUGGGAAGGUUUUUUAAACGAUGUUGACACAGGCCUUCCAUUUCUAACAUCAUUGUUGAGGUCAGUUAUCACCACAAAACGAACUAAGGACAAGAUUUCAUGGUACAUAACAAAUUAUUAUUU
Long non-coding RNA from Ruditapes philippinarum (Manila clam), 2456 nucleotides. RefSeq lists it as uncharacterized. The record is from RefSeq and is a predicted model, not a curated record. The transcript is spliced from 5 exons. NCBI's taxonomy places the organism in Eukaryota, Metazoa, Mollusca, Bivalvia, Venerida, Veneridae.